This 492-nucleotide ribosomal RNA is filed under the name uncultured bacterium. Its description in RNAcentral is "partial 16S ribosomal RNA". It matches the Rfam family "Bacterial small subunit ribosomal RNA", at positions 29 to 507 of the family's 1533-position model. The record is from RNAcentral.
AGUGAACGCUGGCGGUAGGCCUAACACAUGCAAGUCGAACGGCAGCACAGUAAGAGCUUGCUCUUACGGGUGGCGCGCGUCGGACGGGUGAGGAAUACAUCGGAAUCUACUUUUUCGUGGGGGAUAACGUAGGGAAACUUACGCUAAUACCGCAUACGACCUACGGGUGAAAGCAGGGGUUCUUCGGACUUUGCGCGAUUGAAUGAGCCGAUGUCGGAUUAGCUAGUUGGCGGGGUAAAGGCCCACCAAGGCGACGAUCCGUAGCUGGUCUGAGAGGAUGUUCAGCCACACUGGAACUGAGACAGGGUCCAGACUCCUACGGGAGGCAGCAGUGGGGAAUAUUGGGCAAUGGGCGCAAGCCUGAUCCAGCCAUACCGCGUGGGUGAAGAAGGCCUUCGGGUUGUAAAGCCCUUUUGUUGGGAGAGAAAAGCAGCAGGUUAAUACCCCGCUGUUCUGACGGUACCCAAAGAAUAAGCACCGGCUAACUUCGUG